AUCUUUUGUGACUACAUAGAGAAAUGAUCGAUCACUUAUUCUGUAAUUAUGUUGGUGCUCAGCGGGUAUGGAAUUACAUCAACCUUACAGAAAAUUUAAACAUUUGCUGGGCUGAGGGUUUCUCUUCUGGUGCUUAGAUUGUUGAGCAUCGGCAUUCUAAAUUUUGUCUUGCUAUUAUUGAUACUGGUGCUUGGUUUAUCUGGACUAGUCGAUGUAACGCUAUAUUUAGAAAUUGUCGUCCUAACUUCUCUGUCAUUGCCAGCAGAGCUAUUGCUCACGUUAAAGAGUUCUCCCACAGCUUGAGCGAUCCCAUUGGCAAAAGGAUUCUAUUGAACAAUUUCACCUGCGCUGAUGGGCAUUUCAUCUUCACUCAUGUUGCGCGUCGCAGAACAUGGAUAUCAAUUCUUCCGAUUGUCUGCUCGCCAUUGAAGUUGCUCUCCAAACAGCUCUGGAUUCUCGACUGCUCGUUCGGCACAUAUUCAUUGAUUAAUCAACACUACUGAACUUCUUGAGAACCCUAACCAUUACCUGUCUUGGCCCUUCUCUGAUCAGAUCUCUAAUUCAAACUUUCUGUUGGAUAUGCUAAACUGCACGAAAAUCCAUCUGAUCCCUUCUGUCUUGAUGCAACCGGCCAUUAACCUCGCUGCUCUUGGAUUUCGGCAUCGUCAUCUUAAUUUGUUUCUCUCUGGCAGGGAUGUGCCCCAUUGGAUCAUGAGAUCCUCCCAUCUAAACGGUUUUACUUUUUAAUAGUUGUUUUUUAUUCAGCCCAUUCUGUUUCAGUUUGAAGUAGUGGUUUUUAUUUUGUUUUAAUAAAAUUAGCUUCUCUUUUUUGAGAAGUUCUUUAAAAAAAAAACCCCUUCAAACCAUGCCCUGAGUCUACUGACUCUGCAUCUCCAUGCCAUCAGCCAGUUGCCCAUCUUCAAUCACAUCCUCUACAGAAGCAACUAACGGAGAUAAGAUUGACAGAGGAAAAAAAAAAA
This is a long non-coding RNA of Dioscorea cayenensis subsp. rotundata (Guinea yam), 980 nucleotides long. RefSeq lists it as uncharacterized. The record is from RefSeq and is a predicted model, not a curated record. The transcript has 2 exons. NCBI's taxonomy places the organism in Eukaryota, Viridiplantae, Streptophyta, Magnoliopsida, Dioscoreales, Dioscoreaceae.